GACGAACGCUGGCGGCGUGCUUAACACAUGCAAGUCGAGCGGUAAGGCCCUUUCGGGGGUACACGAGCGGCGAACGGGUGAGUAACACGUGGGUGACCUGCCCUUAGCUCUGGGAUAAGCCUGGGAAACUGGGUCUAAUACCGGAUAUGACUCCAUGACGCAUGUUGUGGGGUGGAAAGCCUUGUGCGGCUGGGGAUGGGCCCGCGACCUAUCAGCUUGUUGGCGAGGUAACGGCCCACCAAGGCUU
Molecule: ribosomal RNA, 247 nt
Filed under: uncultured Actinomycetes bacterium
Lineage: Bacteria; Bacillati; Actinomycetota; Actinomycetes
Description: uncultured actinobacterium partial 16S ribosomal RNA
Rfam family: Bacterial small subunit ribosomal RNA
Source: RNAcentral